This 500-nucleotide ribosomal RNA is filed under the name uncultured bacterium. Its description in RNAcentral is "partial 16S ribosomal RNA". It matches the Rfam family "Bacterial small subunit ribosomal RNA", at positions 30 to 523 of the family's 1533-position model. The record is from RNAcentral.
AUUGAACGCUGGCGGAAUGCUUUACACAUGCAAGUCGAACGGCAGCACGGACUUCGGUCUGGUGGCGAGUGGCGAACGGGUGAGUAACGUAUCGGAACGUGCCCAGUCGUGGGGGAUAACGUAGUGAAAAUUACGCUAAUACCGCAUACGAUCUAUGGAUGAAAGCGGGGGAUCGCAAGACCUCGCGCGAUUGGAGCGGCCGAUAUCAGAUUAGGUAGUUGGUGGGGUAAAGGCCCACCAAGCCAACGAUCUGUAGCUGGUCUGAGAGGACGACCAGCCACACUGGAACUGGGACAAGGUCCAGACUCCUACGGGAGGCAGCAGUGGGGAAUUUUGGACAAUGGGCGAAAGCCUGAUCCAGCCAUUCCGCGUGCAGGAUGAAGGCCCUCGGGUUGUAAACUGCUUUUGUACAGAACGAAAAGGUUUCUACUAAUACUAGGAGCUCAUGACGGUACUGUAAGAAUACGCACCGGCUAACUACGUGCCAGCAGCCGCCGUAA